GCUGGCGGCGUGCCUAAUACAUGCAAGUCGAACGAACUCUGGUAUUGAUUGGUGCUUGCAUCAUGAUUUACAUUUGAGUGAGUGGCGAACUGGUGAGUAACACGUGGGAAACCUGCCCAGAAGCGGGGGAUAACACCUGGAAACAGAUGCUAAUACCGCAUAACAACUUGGACCGCAUGGUCCGAGUUUGAAAGAUGGCUUCGGCUAUCACUUUUGGAUGGUCCCGCGGCGUAUUAGCUAGAUGGUGGGGUAACGGCUCACCAUGGCAAUGAUACGUAGCCGACCUGAGAGGGUAAUCGGCCACAUUGGGACUGAGACACGGCCCAAACUCCUACGGGAGGCAGCAGUAGGGAAUCUUCCACAAUGGACGAAAGUCUGAUGGAGCAACGCCGCGUGAGUGAAGAAGGGUUUCGGCUCGUAAAACUCUGUUGUUAAAGAAGAACAUAUCUGAGAGUAACUGUUCAGGUAUUGACGGUAUUUAACCAGAAAGCCACGGCUAACUACGUGCCAGCAGCCGCGGUAAUACGUAGGUGGCAAGCGUUGUCCGGAUUUAUUGGGCGUAAAGCGAGCGCAGGCGGUUUUUUAAGUCUGAUGUGAAAGCCUUCGGCUCAACCGAAGAAGUGCAUCGGAAACUGGGAAACUUGAGUGCAGAAGAGGACAGUGGAACUCCAUGUGUAGCGGUGAAAUGCGUAGAUAUAUGGAAGAACACCAGUGGCGAAGGCGGCUGUCUGGUCUGUAACUGACGCUGAGGCUCGAAAGUAUGGGUAGCAAACAGGAUUAGAUACCCUGGUAGUCCAUACCGUAAACGAUGAAUGCUAAGUGUUGGAGGGUUUCCGCCCUUCAGUGCUGCAGCUAACGCAUUAAGCAUUCCGCCUGGGGAGUACGGCCGCAAGGCUGAAACUCAAAGGAAUUGACGGGGGCCCGCACAAGCGGUGGAGCAUGUGGUUUAAUUCGAAGCUACGCGAAGAACCUUACCAGGUCUUGACAUACUAUGCAAAUCUAAGAGAUUAGACGUUCCCUUCGGGGACAUGGAUACAGGUGGUGCAUGGUUGUCGUCAGCUCGUGUCGUGAGAUGUUGGGUUAAGUCCCGCAACGAGCGCAACCCUUAUUAUCAGUUGCCAGCAUUAAGUUGGGCACUCUGGUGAGACUGCCGGUGACAAACCGGAGGAAGGUGGGGAUGACGUCAAAUCAUCAUGCCCCUUAUGACCUGGGCUACACACGUGCUACAAUGGAUGGUACAACGAGUUGCGAACUCGCGAGAGUAAGCUAAUCUCUUAAAGCCAUUCUCAGUUCGGAUUGUAGGCUGCAACUCGCCUACAUGAAGUCGGAAUCGCUAGUAAUCGCGGAUCAGCAUGCCGCGGUGAAUACGUUCCCGGGCCUUGUACACACCGCCCGUCACACCAUGAGAGUUUGUAACACCCAAAGUCGGUGGGGUAACCUUUUAGGAACCAGCCGCCUAAGGUGG
Molecule: ribosomal RNA, 1465 nt
Filed under: Lactiplantibacillus plantarum
Lineage: Bacteria; Bacillati; Bacillota; Bacilli; Lactobacillales; Lactobacillaceae
Description: bacterial SSU rRNA
Rfam family: Bacterial small subunit ribosomal RNA
Source: RNAcentral